Molecule: transfer RNA, 74 nt
Filed under: Merluccius polli (Benguela hake)
Lineage: Eukaryota; Metazoa; Chordata; Actinopteri; Gadiformes; Merlucciidae
Rfam family: tRNA
About the family: Transfer RNA (tRNA) molecules are approximately 80 nucleotides in length. Their secondary structure includes four short double-helical elements and three loops (D, anti-codon, and T loops). Further hydrogen bonds mediate the characteristic L-shaped molecular structure. tRNAs have two regions of fundamental functional importance: the anti-codon, which is responsible for specific mRNA codon recognition, and the 3' end, to which the tRNAs corresponding amino acid is attached (by aminoacyl-tRNA synthetases). tRNAs cope with the degeneracy of the genetic code in two manners: having more than one tRNA (with a specific anti-codon) for a particular amino acid; and 'wobble' base-pairing, i.e. permitting non-standard base-pairing at the 3rd anti-codon position.
Source: Rfam by way of RNAcentral
GGUGCUGUGGCUUAGCUGGUCAAAGCAUCUCUCUUGAAAACAGGGGUCCCUGGGUUCAAAUCCCAGCAGUACCU